GCCCGGUUAGCUCAAUCGGUAGAGCGUGAGACUCUUAUGAGUUCACCAUCUCAAGGUUGCGGGUUCGACCCCCGCAUCGGGCU
RNAcentral lists this transfer RNA (83 nucleotides) under Dactylonectria macrodidyma. RNAcentral's name for it is "Ilyonectria macrodidyma tRNA". It matches the Rfam family "tRNA". From Rfam's summary of the family: Transfer RNA (tRNA) molecules are approximately 80 nucleotides in length. Their secondary structure includes four short double-helical elements and three loops (D, anti-codon, and T loops). The record is from Rfam by way of RNAcentral. RNAcentral also lists the same sequence under 4 other names. Lineage: Eukaryota; Fungi; Ascomycota; Sordariomycetes; Hypocreales; Nectriaceae.